GGCUGAACCACUUUAGGGAAGAUAAAGCUUUUGCACAAGAGACAGGUCAUCUCCAUGGUUUUUCUUUAAACUGCAGAACAUCCUACUUUGUCUUAUUAUUAGUAACAGGGAGAAAGUGCCGGAGUUCUGGUUUUGUAACUGUGUGCUCUGAGGUGACGAGCUAGAAGACAUACAAGGAGCCUUGGCUCGUCCUUGUGGCAUUUACAGUGAAGGAGAGAGGAAAAGAAAAGCUGCUCCGUGCAUAAUCUGAGCGAUCAAACGCGGCAGCUCUGCACAUCUUUUAUUUAGGGAAUUCCUUUUCAUCUGGGCAGGUGGAUUCAGAGAUUUUGAUCCCCAAGCCACCCGCCCCCAGGAAGCAAAAAGCCAGCUGGCUCCAUCCUGCUUAUUUGUUUAUAACAAAUAAGAGUUUUAAGAGGUCUCUUUAUGCCAACGCAGCACACCGAGGCAGUUUACGGCUGUCCGAAACGUGUCGCUGCGAGCGUAGUAGCCUCCAGCAGGUGAGAAAUCACAAGUGCCAUGUUCUAAUACUGUAUAAUAGAGAUUUUAUGGCCAUGAGUGGAUGUCGGGAAAAUUGCUGGUUCUUCUACUGGCUUCCUGCCCCUGCAAGGAGGCACAUUACGUGCUGGCCUUAAAGCCCUGGCCAAACACGCACUGCCUCACCGCCACCAUGCCCCCAGGUGGUGAUGGAGGAAUAUCAUGUUGGGGAGCAGGGAGCACAUCAUUUAGGGUGCUCAGCACCCAGGAGGGUAAAGAGGCACACCAGUGGGAUGGGAUUGAUCCAUCAGAAAGACCGUGAGGUGCCGAGGCCAUGGCUGGACCUGGUGGCCUUGGGCACAGGAGAGCCGAUCACCGCCAGGAUGAGAGCAUGCAUUCCUCAUCACUCAUCCCCUGCUGAGGUCUAGAGGCAAAAUGCUCACAAUUAUGCGACGGUGAGCAUGUUGUUUCAUUGUCUGGAGGGUUAAAAUUUAUGUUUUCAUAAACAUUCAGGUGAAUUCCUUAAAUUUUUAUUGCUUUGUAAUAUGCUAUGCUCUUGUCUAAGCUUUUUUCCUGGGUCUGGUUGUUUACUUUUCAUUGUAUAAUCUUUAGGAACAUUCAGAAACUCACAGAACACCUUUUUCAAUUAUUUCCCUUAUUUAUUUGCGUUUACUGAGAACUACAUAUUUAUAAAAAAGCUGCAUGUGAGGAUGACACAUUGCUUCUGGACCCAGAAAACUGAAGGCUAAUUAGCUAUUACAUAAAAGAGAAGGGAGAACAGGGAGAGAAAUCGUCGUAUUUUUUGCUCAAUAUAAGGCAAACACGGGGUUAAAACCACUUCAAGCCAGAGCUCUGAUCAGCCAGCUCCUGGAGGUGUGCCCACUGAGGAGGUGUUAAUUUGGGAGGACUGGAGCAUAAAUAGGCAAGCCCAAGCCUAGGAAGGUUUUUUUUCCUCCUUUUGUUGUGCCUUUUUCUUGGCGAGCUGAAGAUAGAAAACUGCGAAUCAAGUCUUGGAGGAUAAACCUGAAGAAAAUGAGCUGUGAUUACAAAUUUGAUGCCCACUGAUGUCUCACCUGCGUGGCAGGUGGCAGUGAUUUCCAUCUUAUGGAAGCUCUUUCACUUGGUGAGGUCUUCUGGAAGAUAGUGCCACGCUGUCGUGCCUGGCUCUUCAAGAAGUUUUUCCUCCCCUCUGUGUGUAUCAGGGCAAGCUGUAAGUGCUGAGCUGUGAGCUGGUUUUUCUGAGACUCGGUGAGCCUCCUGCGAGCAGAGCACAGACAUGAAAGAGGCCCUGACAAAAGAGGAACGCAGCGAACACUGACAGUGGUCCUUUCCAGCUGGGUUUCCAGGGAUCAAACUUGAAUUUCAGCUGACCUUCUAAAUGUGGACUCCCAAAAUAUUUUAAACGGUCAUAUCUGCUUAAGAGCAAUAACUUUCUGCUUGACUGCCUUGCUGUGUGUCAUCCAGGAUAUGGCAUUCACUGAAAAUUGUCACUGGUCAACGAAAAAAGGAACAGGCUGUGCUCUGGGGAUUCCAGCUUUCUACAAUAACCUUUAGUCUCAUCCCUGUUACCAAAUCUAGCAAAGCAUCCUUUCAGACAGCAGCAUCAGCGGGCAGUUGGGAAUUUUCUGUGCUUUGGAUGACAGCAAUCAGGUUACGCACUGAUGUGCAUACCUUUAGCAGCCGUACAGAACGACUUUGUGGCAGGCUUUCUGUAAGAGCAGUUGUGGCGUAGAACAGAAAUCUCUGAAGAAAAUCAUUGCCCAGGUAACUGUGCACUGUAUUUUCUGCUUUGCUUCCAAGCUGCUGUGUAAUGUGCACGGUGACAGCAUGUUUGCUUUGUUUGUUAGAGGAAAUCUUGGUAACUGCCUCAACCGAUAGCUGAAAGCCACAAAUCAGGAAGCCGUAAGUGACAGAAAGCAUUAGUGGCAGUUGUGCACCGAGAGAGAUGAGUCGGGAAGCUGAAUACAGAAAUCGAAUGUAAGCGAUACAGAAGCAAGGCUAGACUAAACUUGUGGGAUGCUAAAGUAUCCCUAAAGACAGCAGAGACGGGACAGCUUCCUUGCAGUUAUACGGACCUCUGGGGAUGCCCACAUGUCACGCAGAUGUACUGGGAUAACCUGCAGAGAAAAUAGAUAAUGUGAUCUGUAAGAGCAUUUUGUUUUCCUUUCUCACAGCCUCACAACAGCGUUGUGAGACCUAUCAGUUCAGCAACAUGCAAUAAUGGUCUUGUUUAUAUUAAAGCAAUUUAUAACUCUCAGUCUACUGAAGAAAUGCAGUUUUGACACAUUUUCUGCCAAGCACUCAAAAGAAUACGCAACAGUUAAAAACACUGCAAAGUGAUGUCUGCCAACAUCAUAUGUUAUGUGAGGGAAGCUUAAUAAACAGAGCUGAACAGAAUAAAAUAAUUCUUACUCUGCUGAAUUAAAAGCAGUAUUGAGGAAUAGUAGUCAGCCUUUGAAAAGACUUUAUGAAUCAUGUAUCUGGAUGUAAUUAAUUGUCAUAGUAGCUUGCAUUUUUUUGCACAAACAAUGAAACUUUCCACAAUACCCCAAUUUUUCCCCAAGCUCAGAUUGAAAGGUCACUGCAAAAAACUGCCUGAACCUUUUGUCCCAUUUACUUACUCAUUUGUGCUGGUGAAACUUGUGUUCAUGAGCAGGAGUGUACUUUUGAAGGACUGCACUUUAGUUUUACUGCUGCAGUGGCAAUAACUAUGGGACUACCCAGAAAGACAAAUAUUUAGUGUAUUCAUUUGUUUUGUCAACAUCUACAAUUUUUCCAGCAAUUUUAUUUCGCAGCAGUGCUGCCCUCUGAAUUAUGGAAAAGUAAUAAUAAUAAUAAAGAACUAGCCAUGCCUGUCAGAGUGCAGAAUUUCCUCCUGACUUGUAAAUUAAAGUGUUUGUUGACCCUAAAUUCAAAACUCACAAUUUCUACCUUUCCUGUCGCCAUCCAUAAGCUUUAAAGUAGCAAAUCUUCCCCUGCACAGGCAUGUGUUGUACAGAUACUGAGUUUUAUGAAGUAACUCGUUAUUCUAGUUGUUGAGAAAUGUAGUAAGUUUGGGUGUUAACUACUAAACUAUUCAUCAGAUUUAAAUCACAGCCUCUAACAUGCAUUGAAUCUGUUAAGCAAAAAAAUAACAAUUAAAAAAAAAAAAUCCAAUCUCACUGUCACACAAUUUGUUCAGCCAAGUGUCCUAUUUUGUGAAACGUUGAUAGAAGGCUGGAGAGAGAAGGGGUUGUGAGCAGAUUAUGAAGCUGCAAAACAAAUUCCUGGUGACAUAUUUACAAAGUAAUGCAAACCACAACAUGCGGCUGAGAAAGCGAGAAAUACUUCUCCUGGCUGUGAAGUCAUCACAAGUUUUAUAACUAGUGAACAACACAAAAAGCAGAAGGCUUAGUUGUUGUAGAGCCAAGGAUAAAUCUGAUAUUGAGAUGAAGAAGUGCUUUUAAGUCAAAAUACUUUGUCCUACUAUUUUAUGUUUUCCCAUCAAAUAACUCACAGAAUCCAAAGGCAUUUGAGAACCUUUUUAACCGUUCCGCUAAUGUGCAAAUUAUGCAUCUCUGCAAGUUCUGCCUAACCACAAGUGAAAACAAUGAUAACUUGUUUGCAGUUUCAGCCCUUCAGCUACUCGGUGUGUUUCUUUAUCAGAAGCUGAACUCCAUAUAUCAUGAGAUGCUGCACACAGAAGAACAGAGAACAAACAAGUCUGUCUCCCCACUGUCUGUCUCCCCCUCUUCAUCUCUCUCAAGCAAGAUGUACUAUAUUAUACCAUAAAUUCACACUUUGUGGGAGAAACACUAGAACCGUUGUAGCAAAAGUUAAGUGGAGGAGUUUUCCUGCUCAUUCAUUUGACCUUAUUCUCAAGUGGUGCACUUCAGCCUUUCUUUGAGGUUCUAGGUUCUGUUCUGAAUCAUUGUACCUACUUUAAACAAACAAACAACAGUAAGUUGUGGUUCUUCUAAACUCUCUCGAUUACAGAAUUUGUAAAGAGUGUCAUUUAGUUUUCAUGUUUCAGCAGUUAUAUUAAUAUCCUGUAACUGAAUGUGAAUGUAAUUGGUAAAUAUUUUUAUUCUUUAUUACACUCAAGUAGGUAGCUUCUUAAUGGAAAAAUAUUUUUAUACAGUCCACAAAUUUUCAAAGAGUUUUAAUAUUUUUGAUUCUUUUAUUAAAAAAUAAAGUGAUAGAAUGAUUUCUGUCCCCAUUUGGCAUCGCCUAUAAGCUUUAUAAUUCAACCUUGUAACAAAACGUACUGUCCUGUCAGACUCAGAACAAAUUGUAGUUCACUCUUCAAGAGCUCAGUAACUUUCUCUGCAGGAAGCCUUAGAUCAGGAGCACGGCUUUUAUCUUGCCAGCUGUUUCAAGUUUUGAGCUUUGCCAGGAGGCUCUGCCCUUUCUGCCACAUUUCAGCAGUAAUUAGUCGGGGUGAGGCAGGACGAUGAUAGCAGCAUGCUGAGGUGGGCAGUGGGUGUCAUCCUGGAAAAUGAGCGUUGCCCUGCGUUUCUCAAGGCUUC
Non-coding RNA from Anas platyrhynchos (mallard), 4982 nucleotides. The record is from RefSeq and is a predicted model, not a curated record. NCBI's taxonomy places the organism in Eukaryota, Metazoa, Chordata, Aves, Anseriformes, Anatidae.